GUCCUCGUGGAAGGUUCGUGUGUUAGAUGGGCGCCAGGGGCCGGCAGUGGGAAGCAGGGAGGGGUUUUUGGGGGCCUUUGGGAACAUGGAGUCCUAUCCUGUUCCGCCUGGGGCCUCGGUAGCGGCUUGCACGCCCCAAGAUGACGGCCGCUGCCCUAGGCUGGGCCGGCGGGCGCUUGCGCGUGUCCUGCUCCUCGUAGGCCCGGGACCGGCGGAUGGGUGUCGGGGUGACCAGGCCUGAGCUCCCUAUUUCUCCUCAGUGACAUCGUCUUUAAACCCUGCGUGGCAAUCCCUGACGCACCGCCGUGAUGCCCAGGGAAGACAGGGCGACCUGGAAGUCCAACUACUUCCUUAAGAUCAUCGUAAGUGCAGGCAACUAUUGGAUGAUUAUCCGAAAUGUUU
Molecule: small RNA, 402 nt
Filed under: Pongo abelii (Sumatran orangutan)
Lineage: Eukaryota; Metazoa; Chordata; Mammalia; Primates; Hominidae
Description: processed transcript
Source: RNAcentral